This 88-nucleotide transfer RNA is filed under the name Helicobacter pylori. RNAcentral's name for it is "tRNA-Ser". It matches the Rfam family "tRNA". From Rfam's summary of the family: Transfer RNA (tRNA) molecules are approximately 80 nucleotides in length. Their secondary structure includes four short double-helical elements and three loops (D, anti-codon, and T loops). The record is from RNAcentral. Lineage: Bacteria; Pseudomonadati; Campylobacterota; Epsilonproteobacteria; Campylobacterales; Helicobacteraceae.
CGGGAGAUGGCUGAGUGGUUAAAAGCGGCGGUCUUGAAAACCGUUGAGGGUCAUACCUCCGGGGGUUCGAAUCCCUCUCUCCCGGCCA